AAUUGGAGGAGAGUGGUAAGGCCACUAUAAGUUCCAGUGGUGCGGCAAAGCAGCUGAAGGAGAUGGUGAGUGUUUCAUGUGGCUUGUCUUGUAUUCAUAAAUAAAAGCCUGUUACUAUCAUAAGUUGUGAAAUGAUGUAGUUUGGAAAUUUGUUGCAGGAACCUGUGCAUUCCGCACAGCCUAGUCUAAGUGACGAGGAAACUAUUCCAACAGGUUGCAGUAAUCAAAAUGAACCUGGUAUGAUAGUUCCGCUUUUUCACUUCUGUUGCAUUCAGAGAAAAAUCCAGCGAAUGAUGCAUCAGUAACGGUUUUU
RNAcentral lists this long non-coding RNA (313 nucleotides) under Linum usitatissimum (flax). RNAcentral's name for it is "long non-coding RNA (LUSI_LNC001217)". Lineage: Eukaryota; Viridiplantae; Streptophyta; Magnoliopsida; Malpighiales; Linaceae. The record is from RNAcentral.